AUCCUUUUUGAUCUGCGAAAUAAGAUUCAUUUAUGUUCCCCCAAACUGAUAAGUAGGUUUCCCAGGUGGGUGGCUCAGCGGUAAAGAAUCCGCCUGCCAAUGCAGAAGAAGCAGGUUUGAUCCCGGGGUUGAGAAGCUCCCCUGGAGAAGGAAAUGACAACCCACUUCAGUAUUCUUGCCUGGAGAAUCUCAUAGACAGAGGAGCCUGGCGGGGUCCACGGGGUCACGAAAAGAGCUGGACACAACUGAGCGACUAAACAACAAACUGAUAGGCAGGUGAAGGAAAUCUUUCCUUCUGACUGCACACAGCGGUUUUUCUCAGCACUAUCAUUCGGGGACGCUGAAACAUUACUUCUGGUGCCUGGGAGAAAAGCAAGGCUGUGAACACUUUAGAGUCAGCGCGGGAGGUCUUGUCGAUCCUAGCCUACCAACCAAUCAGCAGGGAUAGAUUCGACUCCGACUGCGAGCUCUUGGAUGCUAGAAGUUACCAAGGAUACGUAGGCUCUGCCCUGAAGGGAUGUGGAACCCAUUUGAAUCUGAAUCUAUGAAAUUGGAAGUUGAGUUGAAAAAAGCUUGGGAAGAGAAUUAGAAGAUCUGAGUCUGUGUCUACCUUUAGCCAAGUAACUUCCUUUCAUUGCGCCUCAGUUUCCUUAUCGGUGAAAUAAGAAUAAUGCCUGCUUUACCUAUCUCACACUGAUGUGGAGAGAAUAAGAUGAUUAGCAUGUGUGAGCAUGCUUAGGAAUGUGAAAAGCCUUAACAAAUUUAGGACGUAUUAUUUUAAAUGGAGUUUAAACACAUUCUGGCUUCAGGGGCAC
RNAcentral lists this long non-coding RNA (815 nucleotides) under Capra hircus (goat). RNAcentral describes it as "lncRNA (ENSCHIG00000003978.1)". The record is from RNAcentral. Lineage: Eukaryota; Metazoa; Chordata; Mammalia; Artiodactyla; Bovidae.